UUACUAUAGUCUUAAUGGUUAUGACUAUAGUCUUAAUGGUCUCUCAUUAAGACUAUAGUCAUGACCAUAAGACUAUAGUCAUGACCAUUAAGACUG
Non-coding RNA from Paramuricea clavata, 96 nucleotides. NCBI's taxonomy places the organism in Eukaryota, Metazoa, Cnidaria, Anthozoa, Malacalcyonacea, Plexauridae. The record is from the annotation of a GenBank genome assembly.